This is a long non-coding RNA of Oncorhynchus gorbuscha (pink salmon), 1358 nucleotides long. RefSeq lists it as uncharacterized. The transcript is spliced from 4 exons. The record is from RefSeq and is a predicted model, not a curated record. NCBI's taxonomy places the organism in Eukaryota, Metazoa, Chordata, Actinopteri, Salmoniformes, Salmonidae.
CACUGAGGGAGUUUGAUUAACCUGAACCGUGGUGCACCGGGCUUUGUCCCGUGACGGGAACAGAUAAAAGGGGGAAAGGAGGGGCAUCUUUCUUAACUCUACGUGCAUAACUUUCGUCACUUUUAUUGAAAGUGAGGCCCAGGAGGCAGCCUCUUCCAAAACGAAUGCAAGCACUUUUCACCCAUGUUAACAUCAGUUUACGUUCAUUUGCAAGUGGCUGAAUCUCAACAGAGAAACCAUCUGAGCGAGGAAAACGCCCCUCUGUCUCAGGAUGUGUCUGAUGCCGUCUGGACCAAAAUAGAAGAUAUAACAUGUUGCCGCCGUAGCAGUUGAUUGAUGCCAGCAAGCAUUUAGCCUCUCUUGAUAAAAACGAUAUAACAUAAUUAGCUAAUCAGCGUUGAGCUGAAAUUUGGGUUGUCCUGGUGCAGCAAAACAGCCCCAAGGGAUACACCAAUCAAAUCACAUCCUAAGAAAAAGUGUAGGCAUGGAGGGUCUUCUGCCCGAGUUGGAGCAUUUGGUGAGAUCUUUGUCAGAGCAUCUGAGGGCCAAUGUUGUAGUGGAGAAUAUUUAAGACCUUGAAUAUGUUCAACCGGAAGAUAUAAAAUACCAUUUGACGCCAAUAUAGUGCCGGGAAUUGCUUCAGUCCUUCAACCAAAGAGGAGAACCUUUUGAAGAUCCCUUUCUGAUUCCAGAAAAUGAAGAAAGGAUAUUAUCUGUAACAAUGGAUAGGACUCUUGUCCUCCUCCAAGCAUCAGUGACCUCCAGGAACAGUGGCCUUUCCUUUCACCAAGUUAUGGCUCUGCGACCACUUCAAAACCCUCCCUGGCGUCGUGGUUGACAGUCGCCUGACUCAAGCUCUCCCGAACAAGAGUAAGAGAAUUGUCAACAUUUUUAAAAGCCAAAAGGCCAUUCUGCCAUUCUUCUGUUGAUGACCCACUUCAGAGAGGAGGAUUGGUCCUGUUUCUCUUGGCAGAUGUAAAGAAUAGUGUUUUUAGACUUAUAAAGUCGAUAUGAUUAAUGGUGUUUAUACUGCACUAUUACACAUGAUAUUUUUAAUGUUUUGUGAUUUUAGGUCACUGCAACUCGGGUUGAUGUCGAGGUGCGAAUUCCUUUGCCAUUUCAUAUCCAACAUUUUUAUGCAAGUAAAGUCCAGGUCAGAUAAAGAAUGUUAUGACAGGCAUGGAAACAAACCAAAUUCAAACAGAAUUUGGGCAGGUAGUGUUCUCCUGGCAUCCUCCAAACUCAUAUUCAUCUGUCGGACUACCAGAUGAAGCUUGAUUCAACACUCCAGAGAACGUGUUUCCACUGCUCCAGAGUCCAAUGGCGAUGAGCUUUACACCACUCCAGCCGACGCUUUG